RNAcentral lists this ribosomal RNA (373 nucleotides) under uncultured bacterium. Its description in RNAcentral is "bacterial SSU rRNA". It matches the Rfam family "Bacterial small subunit ribosomal RNA", at positions 524 to 898 of the family's 1533-position model. The record is from RNAcentral.
UACGUAGGAUCCGAGCGUUGUCCGGAAUUACUGGGUGUAAAGGGUGCGCAGGCGGAUUUGUACGUCAGAGGUUAAAUGUCACCGCUUAACGGUGAACCUGCCUUUGAUACGGCAAGUCUUGAGUGUGAGAGAGGUAAGUAGAAUUCCUGGUGUAGCGGUGAAAUGCGUAGAUAUCAGGAGGAAUACCAGUGGCGAAGGCGGCUUACUGGCUCACAACUGACGCUUAGGCACGAAAGCGCGGGGAGCAAACAGGAUUAGAUACCCUGGUAGUCCGCGCCCUAAACGAUGUAUGCUUGGUGUUGGGAGUUUAACUCUCAGUGCCGUAGGUAACCCGUUAAGCAUACCACCUGGGGAGUACGAUCGCAAGGUUGAA